AGUAACGGCGAGUGAAGCGGUAACAGCUCAAAUUUAAAAUCCGGCCUUCACGGGCCCGAGUUGUAAUUUGUAGAGGAUGUUUCGGACAAGGCUGUGGUUUAAGUUUCUUGGAACAGAACGUCACAGAGGGUGAGAAUCCCGUCUAGAACCGACGGCCGCGUCCAUGUGAAACCCCUUCGACGAGUCGAGUUGUUUGGGA
RNAcentral lists this ribosomal RNA (199 nucleotides) under Chaetothyriales sp. Its description in RNAcentral is "partial large subunit ribosomal RNA". It matches the Rfam family "Eukaryotic large subunit ribosomal RNA", at positions 82 to 279 of the family's 3401-position model. Lineage: Eukaryota; Fungi; Ascomycota; Eurotiomycetes; Chaetothyriales. The record is from RNAcentral.